UACUCGUCGUUAAAUUCUAUAUACGUGCAUUAUGUAUUUUAUAUGUGUUUUACAUAAGCGAAUCUUUAUUUCUGUAAAAGAAGAAGAAGAAAAAAAAAAAAAAAACUAUGAAAAUAUGUACUACCCAUUCAAAGAAGACACGAUCAUAUGUUUCCCACUACGGUUCCCGCACGUAAACGAAGAAUCAUCAGUAUUUAUGAUAUGCUAAUUUCCCGUUACAAAUUCCGCGAUGUUUCGCGGAUGACUGCUCUUACCGGCUACAGCCAGUGGAAAAACCAUCCGUUUGGAAAACCAGUCGUCAACGAAGGAAUGGAAAGGAGCAAGAGAGAAGAGAAACUUGGCUAGAUAUAGCUUUAGAUUCACCGAUUCUCUCAAGACAUACAUCUAAAUGUGACAAAAAAUAUCGAAGGAAAGAUGGAUUUGUGCCAAGAUACUUUAAAAUCUGCUAACUAACUGAAUUCUCUGGCAGAAACAGCAAUGUCUUGAAUCUAUUAUGGUUAAGUAUUAUAAAAAGUAAUAUUUAAUAAUAAAUAUUUUUAUUU
Long non-coding RNA from Apis dorsata (giant honeybee), 542 nucleotides. RefSeq lists it as uncharacterized. The transcript has 2 exons. The record is from RefSeq and is a predicted model, not a curated record. NCBI's taxonomy places the organism in Eukaryota, Metazoa, Arthropoda, Insecta, Hymenoptera, Apidae.